GGGAUUGUGUCUCAGUGGUAGAGCGCUUACCUAGUAAGUUCGAGGCACUGGGUUUGAUUCUCACAAUCACA
Molecule: transfer RNA, 71 nt
Filed under: Marmota monax (woodchuck)
Lineage: Eukaryota; Metazoa; Chordata; Mammalia; Rodentia; Sciuridae
Description: tRNA.Thr
Source: RNAcentral